GAGGCUCUGUCCUGCAGAAGUAAUGGAUGUGGCUGAGAGCAGAGAGGACAAUGAUAACCAGCGCAUUCAGUCAUGCAUAUAUAAAAGCAACAACAAAGUUAAUCUCUCAAAUGAAAGCACAUACAGUCUUGUCUCAGUGCUGCCAAAAUAUUAUGGAUUGGGGGUGCCUUGUAUAUUUUUUGAAAUGUUGGAAGGAGAAAGAACAAGUGUGGUCAGAUCCUGGAAGAACAGAAAGUAUGCGUAGUCUCAGAACCCUGGAGAUAUUCAAAACCCAGCUGGAUGCAUCCCUGAAGCACCCUGCUCUGAGAAGAGGGGUUGGACUAUAUGAUCUCCAGAGCUUCCUUUCCUUCUCAAC
Cygnus olor (mute swan) is the source of this 355-nucleotide long non-coding RNA. RefSeq lists it as uncharacterized. Lineage: Eukaryota; Metazoa; Chordata; Aves; Anseriformes; Anatidae. The record is from RefSeq and is a predicted model, not a curated record. The transcript has 3 exons.